CCAGACGAAGGUAGUGAUGGUAUUCUGCAGCCGUCUCAGGUAUGUGUUUGGUAGGGGGGUCUGUAGAGUUCUAAUUAGGUAUUGAAAUUUUGGUAGGAGCAUCAUCUUCACUGCCGCCAGUCUCCCCACCCAUGACAUAUAUUUAUCUUCCCAUUUCUUCAGUGUGUCGCCUAUUUCCCCCUGUAGUUUGCCAUAAUUAAGGUCCAUAAGACCUUGUGGAGUUUUCGGAAUCCGUAGACCCAGAAACGUGAGGUGGUCAUCUCUCCAGUCCAGUGGGAAUGAGAGUUUUAGGUGUUCUAUGGUAUGAUGUUGUAUCCCUAUCCCCAUAGCUUGGGUUUUCAUGACAUUAAGUUUGUAGUAUAAUUGCUCCCCAUAUCUUUCUAUUUCCUGCAGGAGAUUUGGUAGUGAUAUGUGCGGUUGUGUAAGUGUGAGUAGUAUGUCAUCUGCAAACAAGUUUGUUUUGUACUCUCUAGCUCCUAUCUCCAGACCGUGUAUCGCAGUGUUUUCCCGUAUUUUGAUCGCCAGCGGCUCCAGCGCCAAGACAUAUAACAGGGGGCAGCCCUGCCUUGUGCCAUUUGUGAGUUGGAAUGGUUCGGACAGAAAAUCCUGCGUUGAGUACUCUUGCUGAGGGCUUGCUAUAUAUGGCCUGUACCACUGACACAAACCCCAAGGGGAUCUCGAACUUGUUAAGCACUGCUCUAAGAAACCCCCAGUGGAGGCGGUCAAAGGCUUUUUCGGCGUCGAGGGAGACCAUCAGUCCCCCCCGAUGCCGAUUUUUCAGGUGGUGGAGGAUGUUAAUGACCUUCCUGGUAUUGUCUGCCCCCUGUCUUCCCUUGAUGAAGCCCACCUGGUCAUUGUGAAUUAUGUGUGGUAGUAUG
Pelobates cultripes (western spadefoot toad) is the source of this 878-nucleotide non-coding RNA. Lineage: Eukaryota; Metazoa; Chordata; Amphibia; Anura; Pelobatidae. The record is from the annotation of a GenBank genome assembly.